RNAcentral lists this ribosomal RNA (354 nucleotides) under uncultured bacterium. RNAcentral describes it as "bacterial SSU rRNA". It matches the Rfam family "Bacterial small subunit ribosomal RNA", at positions 1 to 334 of the family's 1533-position model. The record is from RNAcentral.
GUGAGUAGUUCAGAGUUUGAUCCUGGCUCAGGAUGAACGCUGGCGGCGUGCCUAACACAUGCAAGUCGAGCGGGAUUUUCCGGAUUGAAGCUUCGGCAGAUUGAAGGAAAUGAGAGCGGCGGACGGGUGAGUAACGCGUAGGCAACCUGCCCUUUGCAGAGGGAUAGCCAUUGGAAACGAUGAUUAAAACCUCAUAAUACCACCUGGUGACAUCACCGGAUGGUCAAAGAUUUAUCGGCAAAGGAUGGGCCUGCGUCUGACUAGCUAGUUGGUGGGGUAACGGCUCACCAAGGCGACGAUCAGUAGCCGACCUGAGAGGGUGAUCGGCCACAUUGGAACUGAGACACGGUCCAA